Molecule: ribosomal RNA, 313 nt
Filed under: uncultured bacterium
Lineage: Bacteria
Description: bacterial SSU rRNA
Rfam family: Bacterial small subunit ribosomal RNA
Source: RNAcentral
GAUGAACGCUAGCGACAGGCUUAACACAUGCAAGUCGAGGGGCAGCGGGGGAGCAGCAAUGCUCCCGCCGGCGACCGGCGCACGGGUGAGUAACACGUAUGGAACCUGCCCGCAGCAGGGGGAUAAGCGGAAGAAAUUCCGUCUAAUACCGCGUAACACCGCGGAGGGGCAUCCCUCGGCGGUUAAAGAGUCAUCGGCUGCGGAUGGCCAUGCGGCGCAUUAGCUAGUCGGCGGGGUAACGGCCCACCGAGGCGACGAUGCGUAGGGGUUCUGAGAGGAAGGUCCCCCACACUGGUACUGAGACACGGACCAG